UACGAAGGGGGCUAGCGUUGCUCGGAAUCACUGGGCGUAAAGCGCACGUAGGCGGCUUCUAAGUCAGGGGUGAAAUCCUGGAGCUCAACUCCAGAACUGCCUUUGAUACUGGAGAGCUUGAGUCCGGAAGAGGUGAGUGGAACUCCGAGUGUAGAGGUGAAAUUCGUAGAUAUUCGGAAGAACACCAGUGGCGAAGGCGGCUCACUGGCCGGUACUGACGCUGAGGAGCGAAAGCAUGGGGAGCGAACAGG
This 251-nucleotide ribosomal RNA is filed under the name uncultured bacterium. Its description in RNAcentral is "partial 16S ribosomal RNA". It matches the Rfam family "Bacterial small subunit ribosomal RNA", at positions 524 to 776 of the family's 1533-position model. The record is from RNAcentral.